This 454-nucleotide ribosomal RNA is filed under the name Doriprismatica paladentata. Its description in RNAcentral is "partial 16S ribosomal RNA". It matches the Rfam family "Archaeal large subunit ribosomal RNA", at positions 1918 to 2665 of the family's 2987-position model. The record is from RNAcentral. Lineage: Eukaryota; Metazoa; Mollusca; Gastropoda; Nudibranchia; Chromodorididae.
AGCUUUAGGAAUAGAUCUAAGGUUAUACCUGCCCAAUGUGUAACUUUAUUAAUGGCCGCGGUACCUUGACCGUGCUAAGGUAGCGCAAUCAAUUGGCUCUUAAUUGGGGUCAGGAAUGAAUGGAGUUACGGAGUUUAACUGUCUCCUAAUUAAUUAUUCUAAAUUACUAUUUAGGUGAAAAAGCCUAAUAAAAGAAAGGGGACGAGAAGACCCUUAGAGUUUGGCCUAUAUAAAUGUUAGAAAUUGUGUUUAUAAUGGUUUAGUUGGGGCAACGUAGGAGCAAUAUAGACAAUCAAAAUCUCCUGAAUUUCAUUAACCGAUAUUUUUAAAUUUGGAUAAACUACCUUAGGGAUAACAGCAUAAUUUAAUAAAUAAGUUUGUGACCUCGAUGUUGGACUAGGAAACUUAAAGGCUAGCCGUCUUUAAGGAAAGUUCUGUUCGAACUAUAAUUCCU